RNAcentral lists this transfer-messenger RNA (347 nucleotides) under bacterium. Its description in RNAcentral is "JAHJRX01 sp018830565 Standard tmRNA". It matches the Rfam family "transfer-messenger RNA". From Rfam's summary of the family: Bacterial tmRNA, also known as 10Sa RNA or SsrA, is named for its dual tRNA and mRNA-like properties. The record is from RNAcentral.
GGGGGCGAUAGGCUUCGACGGAGAUUGACAAAUUAAGAGUGGCAUACCGAGGAAUACUGCUGGCCUCGUAAAAAAGCAGUAAACAAACAAACGCUAAACAAGAAUUAGCACUAGCUGCUUAGAUAGCAGCACAUUUUGGUAAGUCUUGCUUACGGACUUAUUAAAAUGUCGGUUUGUAAGCUAGCUCCUUAUUAUUUGGCUUAAGUAGUAAGGAGUGAAAUAAGUUAAGCCAAGUCUUUAAACUUUGCUUAUGGAAGUUCAAAGGAAUUUAUAAACAUAAGCUAUGUAUGUAGAAGCUCUUCAAUUUGAAUUUUCGGACGUGGGUUCGACUCCCACCGCCUCCACCA